This 69-nucleotide transfer RNA is filed under the name Paramblynotus sp. ZJUH 20220012. RNAcentral describes it as "tRNA-Glu". Lineage: Eukaryota; Metazoa; Arthropoda; Insecta; Hymenoptera; Liopteridae. The record is from RNAcentral.
AAAUAUAUAGUUUAUAUUAAAACAUUAUAAUUUCAUUAUAAUAAAAAUUAUUAUUUUAAUUUAUAUUUA